AUGGAGACAUGGCAUAGAGGCAGAGAAACACACUUCAAAGACUUUUUCACUUGAAAUAACUUUGCAUCUCAUUGC
Non-coding RNA from Xenopus laevis (African clawed frog), 75 nucleotides. The record is from Rfam. Lineage: Eukaryota; Metazoa; Chordata; Amphibia; Anura; Pipidae.